This is a long non-coding RNA of Pseudopipra pipra, 673 nucleotides long. RefSeq lists it as uncharacterized. Lineage: Eukaryota; Metazoa; Chordata; Aves; Passeriformes; Pipridae. The transcript has 3 exons. The record is from RefSeq and is a predicted model, not a curated record.
CUUUGGGGAUUGGGUGGAAACAGGGGGAGAGUCAGUGGGAUUUUGAAGGACACUUCUGCUGUGGCUUCUGUUCCUUAGCACAGUUUGUCUGGCAUUGGGUUUUCUGGUAAUAAGAGCUGUAUUUCUUCUUAAGCUUUGCCAGUGAGAACAGCAGAUUGGAAGGCACUGUCCAGCAGCCAAGCGAGAGCGUUGAAGCCCUUCCGAGAGCCCUGCAAGCCUCUGCCUCAGGUGGUGAACUUUCCCAGCAGCUGGACAUGGAGCCUGGAACAGGCAUGCAGCUCGAGGCCCCAAACCAGGCUUUGCAAGAAGAGCUGUCCACUCUGCUUGGGAAGUGUGAACAACUGGAGAAGAGCAAAUGUCAGCUGCAAGAAGAGAUGACAAAACUCCACCAUCAUUUGGAGACUUUGGUGCUGGAUUGCAGCCAAAGAGAACAGUGUACAGGAGAGGUGGCAGAAGGAGCUGACCAGGAAAGAAGUCCAAAGCUACAAGAGGUCAGCCUCGUUUUGCAAGCACAGGCAGCCCACCAGGCCCCACUAGGACGAACCAGAGACAGUCAUUGUGAAUCCGUGAGAAUUCAGUUGGAAGAAAGGAUUAGAGAUCUGGAAAGGGAAUUGGAGAGGGUCAAAAACACCCAACAAGAGAGAGCUUCUCGUAAAGAAGCAACGCAGGUAGA